Molecule: ribosomal RNA, 253 nt
Filed under: uncultured bacterium
Lineage: Bacteria
Description: partial 16S ribosomal RNA
Rfam family: Bacterial small subunit ribosomal RNA
Source: RNAcentral
UACGUAGGGUGCAAGCAUUAAUCGGAUUUAUUGGGCGUAAAGGGCGCGUAGGCGGGGGUGCCAGUCAACUGUGAAAUCCCGGGGCUCAACCUCGGAACUGCAUUUGAAACUACAUCCCUAGAGGGUAGGCGGAGAAAACGGAAUUCCACAAGUAGCGGUGAAAUGCGUAGAUAUGUGGAAGAACACCAGUGGCGAAGGCGGUUUUCUAGCUUAUACCUGACGCUGAGGCGCGAAAGCAAGGGGAGCAAACAGG